This 492-nucleotide ribosomal RNA is filed under the name uncultured bacterium. RNAcentral's name for it is "partial 16S ribosomal RNA". It matches the Rfam family "Bacterial small subunit ribosomal RNA", at positions 29 to 507 of the family's 1533-position model. The record is from RNAcentral.
AGUGAACGCUGGCGGUAGGCCUAACACAUGCAAGUCGAACGGCAGCACAGUAAGAGCUUGCUCUUACGGGUGGCGAGUGGCGGACGGGUGAGGAAUACAUCGGAAUCUACUUUUUCGUGGGGGAUAACGUAGGGAAACUUACGCUAAUACCGCAUACGACCUACGGGUGAAAGCAGGGGAUCUUCGGACCUUGCGCGAUUGAAUGAGCCGAUGUCGGAUUAGCUAGUUGGCGGGGUAAAGGCCCACCAAGGCGACGAUCCGUAGCUGGUCUGAGAGGAUGAUCAGCCACACUGGAACUGAGACACGGUCCAGACUCCUACGGGAGGCAGCAGUGGGGAAUAUUGGACAAUGGACGCAAGCCUGAUCCAGCCAUACCGUGUGGGUGAAGAAGGCCUUCGGGUUGUAAAGCCCUUUUGUUGGGAAAGAAAAGCAGCAGGUUAAUACCCCGCUGUUCUGACGGUACCCAAAGAAUAAGCACCGGCUAACUUCGUG